UCCCUAUUGGCCUACUGUCGCCUAGAAGUCAUACAGAUGGACCUAAAUAUGGAUAUCAACAUCUACAGCAAGAUGUACAGACACAACAGAACAGCAGCCUCUACAUGUUGCGAAGCCUACUGCAACAAAAACGUGAUCUUACUGUCUUUGCAACUGAGCACACUCUACCAGCAACACUGACAGCUCACCAGUGGGAGCUGAUAGAUAAGACUGCUCAUGUGCUCUCAUCCAUUGAAGAGCUGACCAGAAACGUGAACAGAAAGACUGCAACUGCACCUGAUGGGAUCCCUGCCAUAACAGAUGUGUUCUGUCCAGUGAAGGCAGUGGAGAAGCCCUACACUGAUGUUGAAACUGUGCCACUCUUCUAGAAACCAGCUACAAGGAUGGGCAGCUGUUUUCGCAAAGUCAGCCAACCUCUUGCUUCCAAAUGACCCUU
Long non-coding RNA from Oreochromis niloticus (Nile tilapia), 436 nucleotides. RefSeq lists it as uncharacterized. The record is from RefSeq and is a predicted model, not a curated record. The transcript has 4 exons. NCBI's taxonomy places the organism in Eukaryota, Metazoa, Chordata, Actinopteri, Cichliformes, Cichlidae.